AUUGAACGCUGGCGGCAGGCCUAACACAUGCAACUCGAACGGAGUGGCGGACGGGUGAGUAAUGUCUGGGACUCUGCCUGGUAGUGGGGGAUAACGUCCGGAAACGGGCGCUAAUACCGCAUACUAUCAGAUGAGCCUAGGUCGGAUUAGCUAGUUGGUGGGGUAAAGGCCUACCAAGGCGACGAUCCGUAACUGGUCUGAGAGGAUGAUCAGUCAACCUGGAACGGAGACAGGGUCCAGACUCCUACGGGAGGCAGCGUGGGGGAAUAUUGGACAAGGGGCGAAAGCCUGAUCCAGCCAUGCCGCGUGUGUGAAGAAGGUCUUCGGAUUGUAAAGCACUUUAAGUUGGGAGGCGUUACCAACAGAAUAAGCACCGGCUAACUUCGUGCCAGCAGCCGCGGUAAAC
RNAcentral lists this ribosomal RNA (406 nucleotides) under uncultured bacterium. RNAcentral's name for it is "partial 16S ribosomal RNA". It matches the Rfam family "Bacterial small subunit ribosomal RNA", at positions 30 to 525 of the family's 1533-position model. The record is from RNAcentral.